CCUUAGUACGAGAGGACCGGGAUGGACGUACCUCUGGUGUACCAGUUGUUCUGCCAAGGGCAUGGCUGGGUAGCUAUGUACGGAAUGGAUAAGCGCUGAAAGCAUCUAAGCGCGAAGCCAACUUCAAGAUAAGAUUUCCCACCGCAAGGGUAAGACCCCAGAAAGACUAUCUGGUUGAUAGGUCGAAGGUGUAAGUGCAGCAAUGUAUUUAGCUUAUCGAUACUAAUAGGUCGAGGACUUGACCAAUAUCAUU
This 253-nucleotide ribosomal RNA is filed under the name Clostridioides difficile. Its description in RNAcentral is "partial 23S ribosomal RNA". It matches the Rfam family "Bacterial large subunit ribosomal RNA", at positions 2676 to 2925 of the family's 2925-position model. The record is from RNAcentral. Lineage: Bacteria; Bacillati; Bacillota; Clostridia; Peptostreptococcales; Peptostreptococcaceae.